Molecule: long non-coding RNA, 598 nt
Organism: Mauremys mutica (yellowpond turtle)
Lineage: Eukaryota; Metazoa; Chordata; Testudines; Geoemydidae
Exons: 6
Source: RefSeq, a predicted model, not a curated record
GCGCUAUCUCCAGGUGCCACCAGGCUCCUCUCCGGGGAGCGUGGGCGGGGGAGUCCCAGGGCGGCCCGUUUCCUUCCCCCGGGAACACCCAGGGGCCCCCGGCCCCGCCCGUCACAAGGAGGCUGAGCGAAAUGCUGUCAAUAUGGUUGCCAGAGGUGAUGGUUUGAGUCCACUUUACAUUCAGUUUAAAGAGAAGAGAGAGAGAGAAAAAGAGAGUGUGGGACUAAAGAAGGUCUUCUAUUUUUGCAUCCAAGAUGGUGGAAUAAAAAUUUAAAUGAAAAUAACGUUUCUUGCACUGUGACCAAUGUUUAUCCUAAUGCAGCACUAGGAUUAAACACACAGCUGAGCGUAGCAUUGUAUCCAGAGAUCACAGAACGGCUUACUAAGGGUUCAGAGUAAAAGCCUUCCACCUCCACAUCUAUCAACGACUGCCUUAAUUCUUUUUCUUCUCUCUUUCUGAAGUACAGAACAUAGAAACAGCGAGAGCAGCAGCACUGCCCAUCAAAAUUUGGAAAUGUGUCAUAUUGGAUUGGAAGUUUUAAAAACUGCAAUCUGCUAUACCAAUAAAAAUGUCAGCCUGUCAUUUCUAUAUUGAAUA